CGCAGCGAAAGCGAGUUCGAAAUGAGCGUCCAGUCGCAGGGUGUAGACCCGAAACCAGAUGAGCUAUCCAUGGCCAGGUUGAAGGUGUGGUAACACACACUGGAGGACCGAACCGACUAGUGUUGCAAAAUUAGCGGAUGAGCUGUGGAUAGGGGUGAAAGGCCAAACAAAUCUGGAGAUAGCUGGUUCUCCCCGAAAACUAUUGAGGUAGUGCCUCGUGUGUCGCUCCAGGGGGUAGAGCACUGUUUUGGCUAGGGGGAUAUGGAGUCUUACCAAACCAAGGCAAACUCCGAAUACCUGGAAGCGUGAGCACGGGAGACAGAGCACCGGGUGCUAACGUCCGGACUCAAAAGGGAAACAACCCAGACCGCCGGCUAAGGUCCCCAAUAACAGCUAAGUGGAAAACGAAGUGGAAAGGCCGUGACAACCAGGAAGUUGGCUUAGAAGCAGCCAUCCUUCAAAGAAAGCGUAAUAGCUCACUGGUCGAGUCCUUCUGCGCGGAAGAUGUAACGGGGCUAAGCUGUUAACCGAAGCCGCGGAUGCACUGAUUAUUCAGUGCGUGGUAGGGGAGCGUUCUGUAAGUCUGCGAAGGCGGUUCGAGAGGACUGCUGGAGAUAUCAGAAGUGCGAAUGCUGACAUGAGUAACGUUAAAGCAGGUGAAAAGCCUGCUCGCCGUAAGCCCAAGGAUUCCUGCUCUACGUUCAUCGGAGCAGGGUGAGUCGGCUCCUAAGGUCAGGCCGAAAGGCGUAGCCGAUGGGAAUCAGGUUAAUAUUCCUGAACCUGCGUCAGAUGCGAUGGGGGGACGGAGCAUGAAAGAUCAUCCGGGUGUUGGAUGUCCCGGUUGACGAGCGUAGGAGGUCUGCAGGCAAAUCCGCAGACGCAUCUCCAAGGCGAAGUCACGUGCCGCCACGGCGGCGAAGUGAUCGGAAGUGCUUCCAAGAAAAGCCUCUAAGCACCAGUCUGACGCGGACCGUACCGCAAACCGACACUGGUGGGCGAGCUGAAUAUGCUCAGGCGCUUGAGAGAACUCGGGAGAAGGAACUCGGCAAAUUGACACCGUAACUUCGGAAGAAGGUGUGCCGUAGUACCGUGAGAGGAGAGACACCUUGAGCGGGAAUCGGUCUCAGAGAAUAGGUGGCUGCGACUGUUUAUUAAAAACACAGCACUCUGCAAAGUCGAAAGACGACGUAUAGGGUGUGAUGCCUGCCCGGUGCUGGAAGAUUAAUUGAUGGGGUGAGAGCCCUUGAUCGAAGUCCCAGUAAACGGCGGCCGUAACUAUAACGGUCCUAAGGUAGCGAAAUUCCUUGUCGGGUAAGUUCCGACCUGCACGAAUGGCAUAACGAUGGCCACACUGUCUCCUCCCGAGACUCAGUGAAGUUGAAAUGUUUGUGAUGAUGCAAUCUACCCGCGGCUAGACGGAAAGACCCCAUGAACCUUUACUGCAGCUUUGCAUUGAACUGUGAACCGAUUUGUGUAGGAUAGGUGGGAGGCAGAGAAGAGGCCACGCCAGUGGUCUUGGAGCCGGCCUUGAAAUACCACCCUGAUUUGUUUGCGGUUCUAACCACGGACAGUGAUCCUGUCUUGGGACCGUGCAUGGUAGGCAGUUUGACUGGGGCGGUCUCCUCCUAAAGGGUAACGGAGGAGUACGAAGGUACGCUAGGUACGGUCGGAAAUCGUGCUGAUAGUGCAAUGGCAAAAGCGUGCUUGACUGCGAGAGCAACAACUCGAGCAGAUGCGAAAGCAG
RNAcentral lists this ribosomal RNA (1744 nucleotides) under human gut metagenome. Its description in RNAcentral is "bacterial LSU rRNA". It matches the Rfam family "Bacterial large subunit ribosomal RNA", at positions 667 to 2408 of the family's 2925-position model. The record is from RNAcentral.